CCGCCAGGGAACUACGAGCUAAGCUUAAAACCCAAAGGACUUGACGGUACCCCAUAUCCCCCUAGAGGAGCCUGUCCUAUAAUCGAUAAUCCACGUUUAACCUCACCAUUUCUAGUUUCUCAGCCUGUAUACCUCCGUCGUCAGCUUACCACGUGAGCGUUAAUUAGUGAGCCUAAUGUUUUUCACCAACACGUCAGGUCAAGGUGCAGCAAAUGAAAUGGGAAGAGAUGGGCUACACUUUCUAUAUUAGAAGAAACGAAAAACUAUUUAUGAAAUCUAGUUGGAAGGCGGAUUUAGCAGUAAAAAGGAAUCAGAAUAUUCAUUUUAACCCGGCACUGGGGUGUGU
RNAcentral lists this ribosomal RNA (346 nucleotides) under Rhinella humboldti (Rivero's toad). Its description in RNAcentral is "partial 12S ribosomal RNA". It matches the Rfam family "Bacterial small subunit ribosomal RNA", at positions 869 to 1384 of the family's 1533-position model. Lineage: Eukaryota; Metazoa; Chordata; Amphibia; Anura; Bufonidae. The record is from RNAcentral.